This 1259-nucleotide long non-coding RNA is filed under the name Homo sapiens (human). RNAcentral's name for it is "HSALNT0092828". The record is from RNAcentral. Lineage: Eukaryota; Metazoa; Chordata; Mammalia; Primates; Hominidae.
CUGAGGCCCAACACAGGAUUAUCCCAGUGGGAAGCUCUGCUAACACAGGUGGCUGAGCAGCCUGGCGGCAACAAGCCUGUCCUGGAAAUAUGGAGAACCUCCUGGGAGAAGAGGCAGCAACCUCCAGAUUUACAGUGAAGAAGAAGAAUCAAGUGUACAUCCCAAUCUGAAUUACUGCAUUCAAAGAAAAAUUACCACUGCUAGCCACUCUACAAGAAUAGCACAAGAACAAGAAAGUCACCUAACUUGAAGACUUGGUGACCAAAACUCAUCCAGCAAAGAUAAAUAACAAAGAACAAUAUUGCUGAUUAAUCUCUUCCUAGGAUGUACAAAGAGAAAACACAAGGAAAAACAAUGAAACCAUGGAACCUGAGCAAGAAAACUAAAGUCAUAGUAAAGUAACUAAAGACAAAUAAAGGAAAAAACAAAAUGAAAUUCUGGAAACCCUUUCUUUCUUUGUUUCCUCAACCAGCAAUUUCCCAUAGCAAUCUAUUCCAAUCACAAAUAAUAAUCCUGCUGGCCAACCAAGGCAAUUAAAGCAUAUUUAUUGUCCACCACAAAUGCUGUCAUGUUAAAUAUGCUAUAAAAUGGGCUGAAAACAUGGAACAUGUGGGCCACACCAUUGAAUGAGACAAAGAGUUGAGGUGAUUGCAGCUUGCAUCAACAGUGGGUCAAAAACUGCAGUCUAGUGCACAGGAAAAGACAUUCAAAAUUAAAAGCCCUAGGGAUUUUUUUUUUUAAGUAAACAACAAAAUUUUAUUUGGAAAAUUCCUUUCCUUACACAUAAUGAAAUCCCAUCAAAUGAUUUUAUUUAUUUUAUUUGUUUGUUGUUCAAUGAUGUUUAUGCUUUUUUUAAAUAUAUUACUUUAAGUUCUGGGAUACAUGUGUAGAACAUGCAGGUUUGUUACAUAGGUAUACAUGUGCCAUGGUGGUUUGCUGCACCCAUCAACCUGUCAUCUAGGUUGCCCUGGUGUGUGAUGUUCCCCUCCCUGUGUCCAUGUGUUCUCAUUGUCCAGCUCCUACUUAUGAGUGAGAACAUGUGGUGUUUCGUUUUCUGUUUCUGUGUUAGUUUGCUGAAAAUGAUGGGUUCCAGCUUCAUCCAUGUCCCUGCAAAGGACAUGAACUCAUUCUUUUUUAUGGCGGCAUAGUAUUCCAUGGUGUAUAUGUGCCACAUUUUCUUAAUCCAGUCUAUCAUUGAUGGGCAUUUGGGUUGGUUCCCAGUCUUUGCUAUUCUAAAUAGUGCUGAAAUAAACAUACAU